UACAGAGGUCUCAACCGUUGUUCGGAUUCAUUGGGCGUAAAGGGUGCGUAGGCGGUCGCGCAAGUCGGAUGUGAAAUCUCAGGGCUCAACCCUGAAACUGCAUUCGAUACUGCGUGGCUAGAGUGCUGGAGGGGAGACUGGAAUUUACGGUGUAGCAGUGAAAUGCGUAGAUAUCGUAAGGAAGACCAGUGGCGAAGGCGAGUCUCUGGACAGCAACUGACGCUGAGGCACGAAGGCCAGGGGAGCAAAC
This 250-nucleotide ribosomal RNA is filed under the name uncultured bacterium. RNAcentral describes it as "partial 16S ribosomal RNA". It matches the Rfam family "Bacterial small subunit ribosomal RNA", at positions 524 to 773 of the family's 1533-position model. The record is from RNAcentral.